UACGUAGGGGGCAAGCGUUACUCGGAAUUACUGGGCGUAAAGGGUGAGUAGGCGGCUGGGCAAGUCAAGGAUGAAAUCCCGAGGCUCAACUUCGGAAUUGUCCUUGAAACUGCUCAGCUUGAGGGUAGUUGAGGAGAGCGGAAUUCCCGGUGGAGCGGUGAAAUGCGUAGAUAUCGGGAGGAACACCUGAGGCGAAGGCGGCUCUCUAAGCUACUCCUGACGCUGAAUCACGAAAGCUAGGGGAGCAAACGGG
This 253-nucleotide ribosomal RNA is filed under the name uncultured bacterium. RNAcentral's name for it is "partial 16S ribosomal RNA". It matches the Rfam family "Bacterial small subunit ribosomal RNA", at positions 524 to 776 of the family's 1533-position model. The record is from RNAcentral.